Molecule: ribosomal RNA, 180 nt
Filed under: uncultured Actinomycetaceae bacterium
Lineage: Bacteria; Bacillati; Actinomycetota; Actinomycetes; Actinomycetales; Actinomycetaceae
Description: partial 16S ribosomal RNA
Source: RNAcentral
GUGUGCGCUGGCACGUCCUAAUACAUGCAGUAAACGCUGAAGGAGGAGCUUGCUCCUCCAGUGGUGUUUCCAACGGAUGACUAACUCUUCGGUAACCUGACUGGUAUCACGGAAUAACUUUUGGAAACGAAGAUAAAACCGUACAACAGUAAAUAUUGCAUGAUAUCCGCUUGAAAGGUA